CGCCUGUUUAUCAAAAACAUGUCUUUAUGAAGUUGUAUAAAGUCUAACCUGCCCAUUGAAUUUUUUAAAGGCCGCGGUAUUUUAACUGUGCAAAGGUAGCAUAAUAAUUAGUUUUUUAAUUGAAAACUUGAAUGAAAGGUUGGACAAAGAAAAAUCUGUCUUUAAUAUUUUUAUUGAACUUUACCUUUAAGUGAAAAGGCUUAAAUAAAUUUAAGGGACGAUAAGACCCUAUAAAUCUUUACAUUUUACUAAACUUUAAAACUAGAAAUAAAUUUAUUUAAAAGCUUAAGAAAUAAUGUUUUAUUGGGGUAAUAAAGAUAUAAUAUUUAUAUAAACUGUCUUUUUUUAAAAACAAAUAUAUUUGUGUAUAAAGAUCCUUCUUAAAGAUUAAAAGUUUAAGUUACUUUAGGGAUAACAGCGUAAUUUUUUUUGAGAGUUCCUAUCGAAAAAAAAGUUUGCGACCUCGAUGUUGAAUUAAAAUUUCUUCGUGGUGUAGAAGCUAUAUAAAGAAAGUCUGUUCGACUUUUAAAAUUUUACAUGAUUUGAGUUCAAACCGGCGUAAGCCAGGUUGGUUUCUAUCUA
Molecule: ribosomal RNA, 582 nt
Filed under: Munidopsis guochuani
Lineage: Eukaryota; Metazoa; Arthropoda; Malacostraca; Decapoda; Munidopsidae
Description: partial large subunit ribosomal RNA
Rfam family: Bacterial large subunit ribosomal RNA
Source: RNAcentral